UACAGAGGGUGCAAGCGUUAAUCGGAAUUACUGGGCGUAAAGCGUGCGCAGACGGUUGCGUAAGUCAGAUGUGAAAGCCCCGGGCUCAACCUGGGAAUUGCAUUUGAGACUGCGUAGCUAGGGUGCGGAAGAGGGAAGCGGAAUUUCCGGUGUAGCGGUGAAAUGCGUAGAUAUCGGAAGGAACACCAGUGGCGAAAGCGGCUUCCUGGUCCAGCACCGACGUUCAGGCACGAAAGCAUGGGGAGCAAACAGG
This 253-nucleotide ribosomal RNA is filed under the name uncultured bacterium. RNAcentral's name for it is "partial 16S ribosomal RNA". It matches the Rfam family "Bacterial small subunit ribosomal RNA", at positions 524 to 776 of the family's 1533-position model. The record is from RNAcentral.